UACGGAGGGUGCAAGCGUUAUCCGGAUUUACUGGGUUUAAAGGGUGCGCAGGCGGAUAUGUAAGUCAGUGGUGAAAUCUCUAGGCUUAACCUGGAAAUUGCCGUUGAUACUAUAUAUCUUGAAUGUUGUGGAGGUAAGCAGAAUAUGUCAUGUAGCGGUGAAAAUGCUUAGAUAUGACAUAGAAUACCUAUUGCGAAGGCAGCUUACUACGCAGAUAUUGACGCUCAUGCACGAAAGCGUGGGGAUCAAACAGG
Molecule: ribosomal RNA, 254 nt
Filed under: uncultured bacterium
Lineage: Bacteria
Description: partial 16S ribosomal RNA
Rfam family: Bacterial small subunit ribosomal RNA
Source: RNAcentral